RNAcentral lists this ribosomal RNA (253 nucleotides) under uncultured bacterium. Its description in RNAcentral is "partial 16S ribosomal RNA". It matches the Rfam family "Bacterial small subunit ribosomal RNA", at positions 524 to 776 of the family's 1533-position model. The record is from RNAcentral.
UACGUAGGCAGCAAGCGUUGUUCGGAAUUACUGGGCGUAAAGAGUGUGUAGGCGGUGUUGUAAGUUUGGCGUGAAAUCUCCCGGCUUAACUGGGAGGGUGCGCCGAAGACUGCGGUGCUUGAGGAUCGGAGAGGAAAGUGGAAUUUCUGGUGUAGCGGUGAAAUGCGUAGAUAUCAGAAGGAACACCUGUGGUGUAGACAGCUUUCUGGACGAUACCUGACGCUGAGGCACGAAAGCGUGGGUAGCAAACAGG